GGAGGCGUACCCAAGUGGACGAAGGGGGCUGACUCGAAAUCAGCUAGGACGGGCAACCGUCGCGGAGGUUCGAAUCCUCUCGCCUCCACCA
RNAcentral lists this transfer RNA (91 nucleotides) under Hydrogenibacillus schlegelii. RNAcentral's name for it is "tRNA-Ser(cga)". It matches the Rfam family "tRNA". Rfam says of the family: Transfer RNA (tRNA) molecules are approximately 80 nucleotides in length. Their secondary structure includes four short double-helical elements and three loops (D, anti-codon, and T loops). The record is from RNAcentral. Lineage: Bacteria; Bacillati; Bacillota; Bacilli; Thermicanales; Thermicanaceae. RNAcentral also lists the same sequence under 1 other name.